GGAUUUAAUCAUUGAACAUUAUUUAACUUAGAGAAAAUUCAAUAAAUCUUUAAUCUCGACACCAUACACUAGGUUUUCUCAAUUCAGCGCCAAAAUUCACACUCACACACGCACGACACUCUCAUUGUACGCGAACGACGCAACACACACCUUCAAACCACACUCAGGCGACAACUCACACUUUGUCACGCAUCAAUCACUUAUUAGUAUCUCAUUAGCAUUCAACACGGAAGGAAGCUCUCGCAUUAAGCAAGGCGCGUAUUUUUUUUUUUGGUUGGUUUUUCUCAAUGCUAAAUUUCAAAUAAAGUGAACACCGUUUGUGCUCAUUAAAUUUACUUUAUUAUUUUGUGUCCAUUAUAAUUAAAACUAUAAAAUUCAAACUUUUGUUUUCGACGCCACGGCGUGGUCAAGCCGUGACCAAAUUUGCGCGCAUCGCUUGUGUACAUAUCUGAAUUAAUCGAAAUAAAAUCGUUGUUUAAUUUCA
Molecule: long non-coding RNA, 484 nt
Organism: Leptopilina boulardi
Lineage: Eukaryota; Metazoa; Arthropoda; Insecta; Hymenoptera; Figitidae
Exons: 2
Source: RefSeq, a predicted model, not a curated record